GACGUCGUUGAUAGGCCGGGUGUGUAAGCGCAGCGAUGCGUUGAGCUAACCGGUACUAAUGAACCGUGAGGCUUAACCUUACAACGCCGAAG
Molecule: ribosomal RNA, 92 nt
Filed under: Salmonella enterica subsp. enterica serovar Aberdeen
Lineage: Bacteria; Pseudomonadati; Pseudomonadota; Gammaproteobacteria; Enterobacterales; Enterobacteriaceae
Description: partial 23S ribosomal RNA
Rfam family: Bacterial large subunit ribosomal RNA (bases 1-80)
Source: RNAcentral